Molecule: ribosomal RNA, 447 nt
Filed under: uncultured bacterium
Lineage: Bacteria
Description: partial 16S ribosomal RNA
Rfam family: Bacterial small subunit ribosomal RNA
Source: RNAcentral
AACGAACGCUGGCGGCAGGCUUAACACAUGCAAGUCGAACGCCCCGCAAGGGGAGUGGCAGACGGGUGAGUAACGCGUGGGAAUCUACCCAACUCUACGGAAUAACUCAGGGAAACUUGUGCUAAUACCGUAUACGCCCUUCGGGGGAAAGAUUUAUCGGAGUUGGAUGAGCCCGCGUUGGAUUAGCUAGUUGGUGGGGUAAAGGCCUACCAAGGCGACGAUCCAUAGCUGGUCUGAGAGGAUGAUCAGCCACAUUGGGACUGAGACACGGCCCAGACUCCUACGGGAGGCAGCAGUGGGGAAUAGUGGACAAUGGGCGCAAGCCUGAUCCAGCCAUGCCGCGUGAGUGAUGAAGGCCCUAGGGUUGUAAAGCUCUUUCACCGGUGAAGAUAAUGACGGUAACCGGAGAAGAAGCCCCGGCUAACUUCGUGCCAGCCGCCGCCGUAA